UGCCUCGCCUACCCGGGCUCUGUCCUCAACUCUGCCACCACCGCUGCGUGGCCCUGCUCGCCCUGCAGCCCGACCCCUGCCUUGCCCACUCUGAGCCUCCGCGCCAGCCCAUGUAUGCCAUGGAAAUAUGGCUGUUGGAAUUCUGGUGUUUUACGACCUUCUUAACACCGUCUGCGUAUGUGCUAAGCAGUCUGAGCCAGUUCAGAAAGGAGUA
RNAcentral lists this long non-coding RNA (214 nucleotides) under Homo sapiens (human). Its description in RNAcentral is "non-protein coding lnc-ZBED9-3:1". The record is from RNAcentral. Lineage: Eukaryota; Metazoa; Chordata; Mammalia; Primates; Hominidae.